CAACACUAUUUUGAUCUGUGUAUGUUGGUCGCCGCGAGUGUUUACAAAAAAAUGUCGGUGAAAACGGUUGAGCUCGUAGUCAAGUUAGAAAAGGUAUCAUUAAUUUGUCUGGAAAUCGAUUUACUGUUCAAUCUCAGUUGAGAUAUUAAAAGUGGAAAGCUUUCCAGCAGGAGCGGUGGAUAGAUCGAACGGGCAAUCACCAAAAACUGUUUUACAGCACCGGGUUGGUAAAAUAUCUGCCGCAACCGCCUCCAAUGGAAUCCAACUGAUCACGAAUGUAAAAUUGCAAAAUGUGCAUGGGAAGUCCAGGAACUAGUCCAACGCAGGAUCAUGAACGAAUCCGUCAUCUCGGAUCCGGAUGCCACGCUGCUGAUUACUAAGAAAGAAAUCGAAAAUGAGCUACUCAGUUCUUGUACGUGUAUUAAGUACGAUUCAUUGAUUUGUUGUUCAAUAAAAUAAAUGGGUGUUUUAUUUUUAA
Long non-coding RNA from Aedes aegypti (yellow fever mosquito), 478 nucleotides. RefSeq lists it as uncharacterized. NCBI's taxonomy places the organism in Eukaryota, Metazoa, Arthropoda, Insecta, Diptera, Culicidae. The record is from RefSeq and is a predicted model, not a curated record. The transcript has 2 exons.